UACAGAGGCCCCAAGCGUUACUGAGAAUCACUGGGUUUAAAGGGUGCGUAGGUGGCGCGUUAAGUCCGUUGUGAAAUCCCUUGGCUCAACCAAGGAAUGGCUUCGGAUACUGGCGUGCUUGAGGUUGGUAUGGGUCACUGGAACUGACGGUGGAGCGGUGAAAUGCGUAGAGAUCAUGAGGAAGACCAGUGGCGAAGGCGGGUCUCUGGACAGUUCCUGACACUGAGGCACGAAGGCCAGGGGAGCAAACGGG
This 253-nucleotide ribosomal RNA is filed under the name uncultured prokaryote. RNAcentral describes it as "partial 16S ribosomal RNA". It matches the Rfam family "Bacterial small subunit ribosomal RNA", at positions 524 to 776 of the family's 1533-position model. The record is from RNAcentral.